AGUUCAGGCUCCCUGGUGCCCUCUGGCGCUGGGGUGGAAGAUGGGUUUGUAAGCGCUGGCGUCAGUGCUGGCAACGGUUCUGGUGCUGGUUGCUUUUCCAGUUCUGGUUCUGGGACUGGAGGCACUG
This is a long non-coding RNA of Gopherus evgoodei (Goodes thornscrub tortoise), 127 nucleotides long. RefSeq lists it as uncharacterized. NCBI's taxonomy places the organism in Eukaryota, Metazoa, Chordata, Testudines, Testudinidae. The record is from RefSeq and is a predicted model, not a curated record. The transcript has 3 exons.